Molecule: long non-coding RNA, 2425 nt
Organism: Triticum dicoccoides
Lineage: Eukaryota; Viridiplantae; Streptophyta; Magnoliopsida; Poales; Poaceae
Exons: 3
Source: RefSeq, a predicted model, not a curated record
CUCAUGGCCGAGACCCCGCACUCCGUCCUCGUCGUCGACCACCUCGUCGACCCACCCCCGCCCCACGUUGCCGGCUGCAUCUCCUUCCGCUGCCUCAACGCCAUGAACAACUCCCGCCUGGAGGGCCUCAUCAAGACGUCCGAUCUGGUGCGCCCCUCCCCACCUCCCCUCCCUUCCCCGCUCACUCCUGUCCUCUAAGCGGAUUGGUCUGCAAAAUUUUGUUAUUGUCUCCUUUAGUGUUCUUGAGCUUGCUUCAUUUAAUUGGGUUGGGUGAAGACGUUGGUAGUACAAGGAAAGAAGUACAGCAUCAGGCUGCAGAAAUAUCUUUAAGAAAUUUGGCAAGUAAGUUUGUUUUAUUGCAUAUUUGUACUAACCUCUCCAGUUUCGUUUUCGCAGAUAUAAGAUAAUAUGUUAUGUAAUCAAGAGAUUCAUUUUAAAUUUGGAUUGUUCACAUGUUUACUCGAAGCAUAUAUGCUCUACUGUGUGGAGUUGAUUUUUCCCUUUUUAGCACCAUCUAUCUUGGAAUUAGAUUGGAUACUGUGAGAAUAUAAUCAUGACUAUUUCUUGAUGGGUACUUGCUGCAUGAUUUUUCCACUGCAUGUCCAAGUUUACAUGUGAAAGGAUCUUGCUUGAUUCCAUUCUACUGGUUCAUCUGAAUUACCGAAUACAGAUGCAGGUCUCCUGUAUCUUCACUAAUUUCCUCUGUAGGUUCCUGUUUAGGGAGAAAAGAAAAUCCUGUUAUCCUCGUCCAGGGAUAGACCAUUUGGCACCAAUGAAUCAGCUGUUGAGUACAAAUAAUGUGGGAAGUUCUUCUUUGGCAAUCACGAUGUGUUCGUACAUAUGGUUGAAAGGAUCGCGUUGAUAGUGUUGCUACUUGCUACCAAUGCUUUUGUUGAGGUAACAACUGUCAAUUAAAUACAACUUGAUUUCGGUGUCGAUGUAGUUUGAGUUUAAUUUUACAUAGGGAAGUGAGAAGCUAAUGUUCUGCCGGUUUACAGAAAGUUGUCCUUGUUGAUCUGCUUUCGUUUGGGAAGAUCAUCCUUUCUAUGAUUUGUGAUGUCUUCCCAUAUUAUAUUCUACUGCUUCAUUCCUUAAUUUUGUACCCGAAUGUCUCUGUAUCGUCAGGAUUUAGCUGAUGAUGAAUAGUAGUACAGCGCAUAUCUGUUCAGUUAAUUUGCAGUCCUGAACUGCUGAUUGAUUCUUAAAUCUGUUCAUGAGGGAUGACAUUUGGUGCAUUAAAAAUGCAGUAUGUUGCCAUUUGAGUAGUAUUCAAUCUGUUGUGCUUGUACUAAGCUGUGGCUAUGUCCUAUGUGCCUUCCAUGUCACAGCUUACUGCUUGCGCAGAAGCACAGGUUGCUUUAGCCAAGCACCAAUUAACAGAGAUGAAAUAGGUUGCUUUAGCCAAGCACCAAUGAACUUCACUGACUCAAGUAGAUUAAGUCCAAUACCAUUAUUUCGUUUGUGUUAUCCUUAUAUUUUAAGAAGUGAACUGGUUUACUAAAGUUCAAUCUGUGCACUUGUUUGUACUUGGUAGAAUUACUGCUUUCUAUCAUGAGCUCACAAGGAAGCCUGAUUUUUGUGGGUGAUUGAAUAGCACCAACUAAAAUCCUCAGGAAGUACAAGUAUGCUAUGAAGAUCUAUUGCCAGUUAUGCGUAUCUGAAUUUUUUGUUCUAUUUUCUGUAAUAUUAAUAUUACAAGCAAGAAUAGUUAUAGGCUAUCAAGAAUCUGAACUUUAUCUCAUUUAUUGAAUACAGAUGCCGAUCUCCUCCAUUUGUGUCUGUUGUUUUGAUUUAGUAUUCUACUGCCUCAUUCGUUAAUUUAUGCCCGAAUGUCUCUGUAUCUUGAGGAUUUAGCUGGUGAUGAAUACACCGUAUAUCUGUUCAGUUAAUUUGCAGCCCUGACAAACUGCUGAUUGAUUCAAUGCAAGAGAUGACAUUUGGUGUUAUGACAGAUUCGGUGCAUGGAUUUGUUGUUCUUGCAGGAGGCUGCAGACCUGUUGUGUUUGCUGCUGGGUCCUGGUUGCCCUGGAGUGUUAAAUUCAGAACGUAAGUGAAUGAUCACUGUACCCCAGCCACCCGGCUUGGCACAAGAUAGGAAAAGUGGUUUGGUGUACAAGGAGACUACAACUUUUUUGUUAAGGACUGCUGGGGCCAAGUCUGGUGGAUCUGUUUAAUUUUUGUAGCAGAGCAGUUCCGCUCUCUGUUUAUUGCCCAAAUGCGGUACAUAGGGCAGGAGGGGCAGGGCGGAGGUUCGACCUCCUGCACCUUCCAUCCCAGGCCUAUCUUUGUCAUUCUCGGCGGCCGGCCGAGCUCUGCGCUCCGGAACAACCAAAACAUGCUUGAGAUCUCAGUAAAAAAAAAGGAUUUUGUUUUACUGUGUUUGCUCUAAAAAAUUGUUCUGGCCAUUUCACUGGGGAUGCAGUGG